GGGGUUGUGGCUCAAUGAUAGAGAGCUUGCCUGGCACGUAUGAGUCCCUGGGUUCGAUUCUCAGCACCACA
RNAcentral lists this transfer RNA (71 nucleotides) under Marmota monax (woodchuck). Its description in RNAcentral is "tRNA.Ala". It matches the Rfam family "tRNA". From Rfam's summary of the family: Transfer RNA (tRNA) molecules are approximately 80 nucleotides in length. Their secondary structure includes four short double-helical elements and three loops (D, anti-codon, and T loops). Further hydrogen bonds mediate the characteristic L-shaped molecular structure. tRNAs have two regions of fundamental functional importance: the anti-codon, which is responsible for specific mRNA codon recognition, and the 3' end, to which the tRNAs corresponding amino acid is attached (by aminoacyl-tRNA synthetases). tRNAs cope with the degeneracy of the genetic code in two manners: having more than one tRNA (with a specific anti-codon) for a particular amino acid; and 'wobble' base-pairing, i.e. permitting non-standard base-pairing at the 3rd anti-codon position. Lineage: Eukaryota; Metazoa; Chordata; Mammalia; Rodentia; Sciuridae. The record is from RNAcentral.